CCUGCAUUGUACACACUGUGCGUAACUUAUGUAAGCACAGCGCAUACAAUGUGGAUG
Molecule: microRNA precursor, 57 nt
Filed under: Salmo salar (Atlantic salmon)
Lineage: Eukaryota; Metazoa; Chordata; Actinopteri; Salmoniformes; Salmonidae
Description: microRNA ssa-mir-460 precursor (ssa-mir-460-1)
Gene: ssa-mir-460-1
Rfam family: mir-460 microRNA precursor family
Source: miRBase by way of RNAcentral